GAUGAAGAACGUAGCGAAAUGCGAUAAGUAAUGUGAAUUGCAGAAUUCAGUGAAUCAUCGAAUCUUGAACGCACAUUGCGCCCGCCAGUAUUCUGGCGGGCAUGCCUGUUCGAGCGUCAUUUCAACCAUCAAGCCCCCGGGCUUGUGUUGGGGACCUGCGGCUGCCGCAGGCCCUGAAAAGCAGUGGCGGGCUCGCUGUCACACCGAGCGUAGUAGAUUUUAUCUCGCUCUGGGCGUGCUGCGGGUUCCGGCCGUUAAACCACCCUUUUAACCCAAGGUUGACCUCGGAUCAGGUAGGAAGACCCGCUGAACUUAAGCAUAUCAAUAAGCGGAGGA
This 336-nucleotide unclassified non-coding RNA is filed under the name soil metagenome. Its description in RNAcentral is "partial contains 5.8S ribosomal RNA, internal transcribed spacer 2, and large subunit ribosomal RNA". The stretch from base 1 to 119 matches the Rfam family "5.8S ribosomal RNA", at positions 35 to 154 of the family's 154-position model. The record is from RNAcentral.